AGGCAAAUGGGGAUAACUCUCCAAAAGUUCUGCCUUGUGCAGGGCAAAGCUUUGCUGUCCUCAUGCACUCUUAGGAUUUCUCCUAACUUCAGUUUCUGCAAUCACCUCAGCUAAUUGUUGCUUUUUAUUUUGACAGGAGACAGACUCACGUCCUUUCCCACCAGAGAAAUGAGCCCUCGCUGUUGCUAGCAGUGCUGAACUAAGGUGUCAUGCAGUGGAAGAGUUGGGGAUCUCCCAAUAACUCAGUCUCUGAUAAAAGAGACUAACAGCCUGCAGUCAGGUUGGCCAGUAUGCACUGUGAAUGAGCAAAACAAGGAAAAGACAAUUCAACAGUGGAAAUAAAAUGUCAAACAUAAUGAGAGCCUGAUCACUAUGCAGAAGAAAUGUUGGCGUGAAAGGUGUUAGAGGGAUUUAGCCUAUUUAAGGGGCAUAGAUUAUAAAGAACAUCCUCCAGCUCACCUGUUACUCUGCUUUGGAAACAGAUGGCCAGAACAAAGACUGCCAACAUUACCAUGGAAACACGCAAAAAUAAAGACUUUCCCAGCCUUGUGAGAGCACACCUGCAAGAACAAGAAUUGCCUGUCAGAAGUGACUCUCCUUCAUUAUUGGUGUCACCUAAGGACAUUUUUUGUGGGCUGGAGCUGGUAUUUAUAAGAAGAAUUCUUCCUAGAAGUGCAAAGCUACUAUCAGCAGGAACAAUGGUGCUUCUCAUGUGGCCUGUUCACUCCAGCUAUUAA
This 737-nucleotide long non-coding RNA is filed under the name Calidris pygmaea (Spoon-billed sandpiper). Its description in RNAcentral is "lncRNA (ENSCPGG00000000575.1)". The record is from RNAcentral. Lineage: Eukaryota; Metazoa; Chordata; Aves; Charadriiformes; Scolopacidae.